RNAcentral lists this ribosomal RNA (500 nucleotides) under uncultured bacterium. RNAcentral's name for it is "partial 16S ribosomal RNA". It matches the Rfam family "Bacterial small subunit ribosomal RNA", at positions 899 to 1397 of the family's 1533-position model. The record is from RNAcentral.
ACUCAAAGGAAUUGACGGGGGCCCGCACAAGCGGUGGAGCAUGUGGUUUAAUUCGACGCAACGCGCAGAACCUUACCAGCUCUUGACAUUAUAUCAGCGACUUACGGAGACGUAGGUUUCACUUCGGGUGGGAUAUAACAGGUGCUGCAUGGCUGUCGUCAGCUCGUGUCGUGAGAUGUUGGGUUAAGUCCCGCAACGAGCGCAACCCUCAUCUUCAGUUACUAACGGAUAAUGCCGAGGACUCUGGAGAAACUGCCGGUGAUAAACCGGAGGAAGGUGGGGAUGACGUCAAGUCCUCAUGGCCCUUAUGGGCUGGGCUACACACGUGCUACAAUGGUGGUGACAAUGGGAAGCAAUACCGCAAGGUGGAGCGAAUCCCCAAAAGCCACCUCAGUUCAGAUUGUCCUCUGCAACUCGAGGGCAUGAAGUUGGAAUCGCUAGUAAUCGUAGAUCAGCAUGCUACGGUGAAUACGUUCUCGGGCCUUGUACACACCGCCCGU